AGAGCUACCUCUGGGACUGGUUUCAAACUCUUCUAGUCAGCCCCUGGGGUAGUUCUGA
This 58-nucleotide microRNA precursor is filed under the name Oryctolagus cuniculus (rabbit). RNAcentral's name for it is "microRNA ocu-mir-12093 precursor". Lineage: Eukaryota; Metazoa; Chordata; Mammalia; Lagomorpha; Leporidae. The record is from miRBase by way of RNAcentral.